This 440-nucleotide ribosomal RNA is filed under the name uncultured bacterium. RNAcentral describes it as "partial 16S ribosomal RNA". It matches the Rfam family "Bacterial small subunit ribosomal RNA", at positions 338 to 795 of the family's 1533-position model. The record is from RNAcentral.
CCUACGGGGGGCUGCAGUGGGGGAUAUUGCACAAUGGGCGAAACCCUGAUGCAGCGACGCCGCGUGGGUGAAGAAGGGCCUCGGCGCGUAAAGCUCUGUCAGCAGGGAAGAAAAUGACGGUACCUGAAGAAGAAGCCCCGGCUAACUACGGGCCAGCAGCCGCGGGAAGACGUAGGGGGCAAGCGUUAUCCGGAUUGAAUGGGUGUAAAGGGGGCGGAGACGGCGAUGCAAGUCAGGAGUGAAAGCCCGGGGCCCAACCCCGGGACUGCUCUUGGAACUGCGUGGCUAGAGUGCAGGAGGGGCAGGCGGAAUUCCUGGUGUAGCGGUGAAAUGCGUAGAUAUCAGGAGGAACACCGGUGGCGAAGGCGGCCUGCUGGACUGCAACUGACGUUGAGGCCCGAAAGCGUGGGGAGCAAACAGGAUUAGAUACCCUUGUAGUC